Non-coding RNA from Dipodomys ordii (Ord's kangaroo rat), 65 nucleotides. The record is from Rfam. Lineage: Eukaryota; Metazoa; Chordata; Mammalia; Rodentia; Heteromyidae.
GGUGGUUCAGUGGUAGAGCACUUGCCUUGCAUGCAUGAAGCCCUGGGUUCAAUUCCUCAGCACCA